UCUCCGUAGGUGAACCUGCGGAGGGAUCAUGAAAGAGUCCUUGCUCUUACGGGUAGAGCUCCACCCUAUGUUAUCGCUACCUUUGCUGUUUUGGCGGGCGGCCAGGCUUCGGACAGACUACCGGCGCCGGCUGGUAAGUGCCCGCCAGUGGAUAUCCAACCUUGAAUGUAAUGUCGUCUGAGUACUAUAUAAUAGUUAAAACUUUCAACAACGGAUCUCUUGGUUCUG
This 228-nucleotide unclassified non-coding RNA is filed under the name plant metagenome. Its description in RNAcentral is "partial contains small subunit ribosomal RNA, internal transcribed spacer 1, and 5.8S ribosomal RNA". The record is from RNAcentral.